This 707-nucleotide long non-coding RNA is filed under the name Nicotiana benthamiana. RNAcentral describes it as "long non-coding RNA (NBEN_LNC006992)". The record is from RNAcentral. Lineage: Eukaryota; Viridiplantae; Streptophyta; Magnoliopsida; Solanales; Solanaceae.
UCAAAACAAACUGAAAUAAAGAAAACAUUGUCACUAAUGACCAAAGGCCUUAUUUCAUUGAGAAAGUAGUAAAAUCCUAAUUACUUGGUCCCAGAAGGACCUUCCCCAGAUUCGGUAUCUUUGCCUCCCUCAUAUAGCUUCAUUAACUUGUGCAGUCGCAGCAACAAAUAAGCCUGAGCCAAACACCCACCUUCAUUACCUUCAGCUUCCUGACAGUCUUUGAUCCUUUUCAGAAACUUGCCUUCCAGCUCCACUAUACCCUGCUCCAAGUACCCUAAACGGUUGCUUGCUUGGACAUCCAUGUCUUUCCAUUCAUAGAUUACCUUCUCUUGAGCCUCUAGUACUUCCCGAUGUUCACUCUCGCACUCUCACAUCCGUUUACGUAGCUAAUUGUACUUGACCUUUGCAGCAGCCUCCUCGUCAAUAACCCUAUGACCAUGGACGAAACCUUUUUUCCCCAAGCCAAUAUAAUCAUCUUCUAACCAUCCAGGAUAAAGUGGUGCAUGCCUCGCCAGAUACCUGUUUGGUUCCACAGACUCUUUUUCUAGAAUGAUUUUGGAGAGCCACAUAUGCUUAGCGUGGCACCUGUGUGGGCUAUCAUCAUAUUGGAAAUCAGCUCUAUAAUGACUCAUCGUUUCCACUCUUGGUAUAAUUUGCUUCCUUUCGGCUUGCCUCAUGACUCGGAGAGGGACAUAAGGGUAAGUUCC